GAUAUUUUCCUUAAUUAUAAUUAGUAUGGCAUUUUCAUUGAAAAAAAUGUUCGGAAAAGGUACAUCUAAAUCCGGUGAAAGUAGUCGUCAAAAUCCUACACUAACAUGGUUCAACCAGGAAUAAACACUGUCACCGGAGGUAUAUUGUACUACGAUCCUUAUAAGGAUCGUGAAGAAUUAGCUAAAAUGAUUACUGUUAUGUGUUUACCUUAUUCUUUUGCUN
RNAcentral lists this long non-coding RNA (223 nucleotides) under Nicotiana benthamiana. Its description in RNAcentral is "long non-coding RNA (NBEN_LNC029756)". Lineage: Eukaryota; Viridiplantae; Streptophyta; Magnoliopsida; Solanales; Solanaceae. The record is from RNAcentral.